GGUCUAUAUUAGUGUCUGUAUUAAUCCCUCUGUGUGAGGAGUGUCUCUAGGGUCUAUAUUAGGGUCUGUAUUAAUCUCUCUAUGUGAGGAGUAUCUCUACAGUCUAUAUUAACGUGAGGUGUGUUUUUAGGAUCCAUAUUAAGGUCUCUGUCUUUCUACAGGCGUGGUGUCUCUCUCUCAGGCUCUCUGCUCCAAUGAGGAGUUUUCCAGUUCCCUCCUCCAUCUGGAUCUCAGUAAGAAUCCUGGGAUUCUGGCUGGAGAGGAGGCAGCGAACCUCUACCUGUUCCUGGCUCAGCCCAACUGCCUGGUCCAUUUGGACCUGUCCGGCACUGACUGCGCUGUGGACACGCUGUUCGGCGCCCUGCUCAGAGGCUGCUGCGCCGACCUCUCCCACCUGAACCUCUCCAGGAACACCUUCUCCCACAAGAGGGCCAAGGAGACUCUGCCCUCCUUCCGGCAGUUCUUCAGCUCCGCCUUCAGCCUCGCCCACGUCAGCCUGGCGGGGAUGAGACUGCCCCCCGAAGCCCUCAGGGCUCUCUUUCUAGGCCUGUCCUCGAACCCUCAUGUCAAUGAUCUUCACCUGGAUAUCAGUGGCUGUGAG
Non-coding RNA from Lepisosteus oculatus (spotted gar), 601 nucleotides. Lineage: Eukaryota; Metazoa; Chordata; Actinopteri; Semionotiformes; Lepisosteidae. The record is from RefSeq and is a predicted model, not a curated record.